Molecule: ribosomal RNA, 465 nt
Filed under: uncultured bacterium
Lineage: Bacteria
Description: partial 16S ribosomal RNA
Rfam family: Bacterial small subunit ribosomal RNA
Source: RNAcentral
GACGAACGCUGGCGGCGUGCUUAACACAUGCAAGUCGAACGGAAAGGCCCUGCUUGCAGGGUACUCGAGUGGCGAACGGGUGAGUAACACGUGGGUGGUCUGCCCUGCACUUCGGGAUAAGCCUGGGAAACUGGGUCUAAUACCGGCUAGGAGCCAUUUUUAGUGUGAUGGUUGGAAAGUUUUUUCGGUGUAGGAUGAGCUCGCGGCCUAUCAGCUUGUUGGUGGGGUAAUGGGCUACCAAGGCGGCGACGGGUAGCCGGCCUGAGAGGGUGGACGGCCACAUUGGGACUGAGAUACGGCCCAGACUCCUACGGGAGGCAGCAGUGGGGAAUAUUGCACAAUGGGCGCAAGCCUGAUGCAGCGACGCCGCGUGGGGGAUGACGGCCGUCGGGUUGGAAACUCCUUUCGCUAGGGACGAAGCUUUUUGUGACGGUACCUAGAUAAGAAGCACCGGCUAACUACGUG